RNAcentral lists this ribosomal RNA (1004 nucleotides) under human oral metagenome. RNAcentral describes it as "bacterial LSU rRNA". It matches the Rfam family "Bacterial large subunit ribosomal RNA", at positions 1923 to 2925 of the family's 2925-position model. The record is from RNAcentral.
GUAAACGGCGGCCGUAACUAUAACGGUCCUAAGGUAGCGAAAUUCCUUGUCGGGUAAGUUCCGACCUGCACGAAUGGCAUAAUGAUGGCCAGGCUGUCUCCACCCGAGACUCAGUGAAAUUGAAAUCGCCGUGAAGAUGCGGUGUACCCGCGGCUAGACGGAAAGACCCCGUGAACCUUUACUAUAGCUUGACACUGAACAUUGAAUUUUGAUGUGUAGGAUAGGUGGGAGACUAUGAAGAUGAUACGCCAGUAUUGUUGGAGUCGUCCUUGAAAUACCACCCUUUAACGUUUGAUGUUCUAACGAAGAUUACGAAACGUGGUCUCGGACAGUGUCUGGUGGGUAGUUUGACUGGGGCGGUCUCCUCCCAAAGAGUAACGGAGGAGCACGAAGGUUUGCUAAUGACGGUCGGACAUCGUCAGGUUAGUGCAAUGGUAUAAGCAAGCUUAACUGCGAGACAGACAAGUCGAGCAGGUACGAAAGUAGGUCAUAGUGAUCCGGUGGUUCUGAAUGGAAGGGCCAUCGCUCAACGGAUAAAAGGUACUCCGGGGAUAACAGGCUGAUACCGCCCAAGAGUUCAUAUCGACGGCGGUGUUUGGCACCUCGAUGUCGGCUCAUCACAUCCUGGGGCUGAAGUAGGUCCCAAGGGUAUGGCUGUUCGCCAUUUAAAGUGGUACGCGAGCUGGGUUUAGAACGUCGUGAGACAGUUCGGUCCCUAUCUGCCGUGGGCGUUGGAGAAUUGAUUGGGGCUGCUCCUAGUACGAGAGGACCGGAGUGGACGCACCACUGGUGUUCCGGUUGUGUCGCCAGACGCAUUGCCGGGUAGCUAAGUGCGGAAGAGAUAAGUGCUGAAAGCAUCUAAGCACGAAACUUGCCAAGAGAUGAGUUCUCCCAGAUUUAAAAUCUGUAAGGGUUGUUUAAGACUAAGACGUAGAUAGGUCUGGUGUGUAAGCGGUGCGAGCCGUUGAGCUAACAGAUACUAAUUGCCCGAGAGGCUUAACUAU